GGCCGUGUGGUGAAACUGGUAGACGUGGAAGCCUUAAAAGCUUCUGUCGAAAGACGUGCCGGUUCGAGUCCGGCCACGGCCA
Molecule: transfer RNA, 82 nt
Filed under: Nitrospirota bacterium
Lineage: Bacteria; Pseudomonadati; Nitrospirota
Description: Nitrospirae bacterium (sediment metagenome) tRNA-Leu
Rfam family: tRNA
About the family: Transfer RNA (tRNA) molecules are approximately 80 nucleotides in length. Their secondary structure includes four short double-helical elements and three loops (D, anti-codon, and T loops). Further hydrogen bonds mediate the characteristic L-shaped molecular structure. tRNAs have two regions of fundamental functional importance: the anti-codon, which is responsible for specific mRNA codon recognition, and the 3' end, to which the tRNAs corresponding amino acid is attached (by aminoacyl-tRNA synthetases). tRNAs cope with the degeneracy of the genetic code in two manners: having more than one tRNA (with a specific anti-codon) for a particular amino acid; and 'wobble' base-pairing, i.e. permitting non-standard base-pairing at the 3rd anti-codon position.
Source: RNAcentral